Long non-coding RNA from Homo sapiens (human), 1373 nucleotides. Ensembl annotates it as long intergenic non-protein coding RNA 1091. The record is from Ensembl. NCBI's taxonomy places the organism in Eukaryota, Metazoa, Chordata, Mammalia, Primates, Hominidae.
AGUGGGAAGGGGGACUGGAAAGGGGAUGUAGUGGGAAGGUGGUCCUCCCCUGGAAUUUGGGUGUCAUGCCAUCAAGCUGUCCCUUUGAAGCCAAGCUGCUUCUCUCUGAUGUCCAGAUGCUGGUUCUCUUCUCUCCUUCUCUGCCACGCCGCUCUGCUGAAUUAUUGAUCAAAUUUGGAUCUCUGUGUGCUGUCCUCCAAUUUAAUACUUUCUGUGUUGCUGUUUUAUUUUCUUUCUUCUGGAACCUGGCAAAGUGCGUCAAGCGAUGAGGCUUCCUCUUUGAAGAUCACAGGUGAGAAGAUUAGGUGCUUUCUCAGAAGCCCAGCAACCUGAUGGGAGUGUGGAGUGAGCAAGACCCAAAUCGGAGCUUCAUCCCUGCAUGGUUCAUUUUGCUUAUUUGGCAAACUUGCCCUGCAGGCAUCCAAUGGCAUUACACCUCAGCCAGAGAAGAAGCUCUUAAGAGAUCAGGUGCCUCAUUUCACCCAUGGGCUGCUCCAGCAUUUCCAGCCUCCUCACUCCUGACACAUACAGGCACGUGCUCUCUGUGGAGUCUUUGCACUUCUCCUUUCCUUCCUGAAAUGCUCUUCCCCUGGGUGUCUUCAUCCUACCUCCCUCAACUCUUUCAUCUUGUUUAAAAAAUGUCAUUUUCUCAGUGAGAACUUCCUUGUCUUAUUCAGUUUGGGCUUCUCUAAUAAAAAUACUAUAGACUGAGUGGCUUAAACAGCAGAAAUUUAUUUCCCACAGUUCUAGAGGCUGAGAAGUCUGAGAUCAGGGUACCAGCCUGGUUGGAUUCUCAGUUUAGAGACAGCUAUCUUCUCAUUGUAUCUCACCUGGUGGAGAGCAGAGAGGGAGGAAGCAAGCUCUCUCACGUCUCUUCUUAUAAGGACACUAAUCCCAUUCAUGAUGGCUCCAUCCUCAUGACCAAAGGCCUUGCCUCCAAAUAUCAUCACACUGGGGAUUUGGCUUCAACAUUUGAUUUUGGGGGUGGGAAACAAAAAAUUUAGUCCAUAGCAUUCCCAAGUGAUUUGUUUAAAUUUUCUACUUAAUCUCUUCUGUGCUUAAAUGUAUCUCCUUAGUAUUGUCCUUUAUCUAUUGCCAAUGUAACUCAUCUAUGUAUCUCUCUAUUUAUCACCUGUGUAUGUAUGUAUGUAUGUACUGUGAAUGUGUGUGUAUGUAUGUAGGUAUGUAUGUAUCUACCUGUCUAGUUUAUCUAACUUGCUUCAGAAACAGGAAACUCUUUGAAGAGCAGUGUUUUUUUCUUUUUAGUUGUUCAUUUAUGUAUAACCAUGGCACUAGAAAGUAAGAAGGCAAAAAGAUUCUUUGCAUAUACAUUUAUUGAAGUACAUACUAAUUGAAUAAAAGUAUUUUAUAUC